Molecule: ribosomal RNA, 542 nt
Filed under: uncultured bacterium
Lineage: Bacteria
Description: bacterial SSU rRNA
Rfam family: Bacterial small subunit ribosomal RNA
Source: RNAcentral
UGAGGAAUAUUGGUCAAUGGGCGAGAGCCUGAACCAGCCAAGUAGCGUGCAGGAUGACGGCCCUAUGGGUUGUAAACUGCUUUUAUGUGGGGAUAAAGUGAGCUACGUGUAGUUUAUUGCAGGUACCACAUGAAUAAGGACCGGCUAAUUCCGUGCCAGCAGCCGCGGUAAUACGGAAGGUCCAGGCGUUAUCCGGAUUUAUUGGGUUUAAAGGGAGCGUAGGCCGUGGAUUAAGCGUGUUGUGAAAUGUAGACGCUCAACGUCUGAAUUGCAGCGCGAACUGGUUCACUUGAGUAUGCACAACGUAGGCGGAAUUCGUCGUGUAGCGGUGAAAUGCUUAGAUAUGACGAAGAACUCCGAUUGCGAAGGCAGCUUACGGGAGCACAACUGACGCUGAAGCUCGAAGGUGCGGGUAUCAAACAGGAUUAGAUACCCUGGUAGUCCGCACAGUAAACGAUGGAUGCCCGUUGUUAGUUCACUUAAGAAUUAGCGACCAAGCGAAAGCAUUAAGCAUCCCACCUGGGGAGUACGCCGGCNCGGUG